This 210-nucleotide long non-coding RNA is filed under the name Trifolium pratense (red clover). RNAcentral's name for it is "long non-coding RNA (TPRA_LNC001736)". The record is from RNAcentral. Lineage: Eukaryota; Viridiplantae; Streptophyta; Magnoliopsida; Fabales; Fabaceae.
AAUUUUGUGGAGUUUGAUUAUGUGGAAAACUAACUCGAUUUCGGUCAUUUCGGUACCAGUUUGGUGAAUUAUGGAUCCAAAUGGAAUUCUGUGCGAAGUUUUGAAGUUGUGACUCGAAAGCAGAUUUUGUGCAAAAUAUUUGAGUGACAUACCUUCACUAAAACGGUAAUUAAUCUCUCUUUGUAACUCCAAAUUUAGUGGGGUUUGAUU